RNAcentral lists this ribosomal RNA (252 nucleotides) under uncultured bacterium. RNAcentral describes it as "partial 16S ribosomal RNA". It matches the Rfam family "Bacterial small subunit ribosomal RNA", at positions 524 to 776 of the family's 1533-position model. The record is from RNAcentral.
UACGUAGGGGGCGAGCGUUGUCCGGAUUUAUUGGGCGUAAAGAGCGUGUAGGCGGCCAGGUAGGUCUGCUGUGAAACUCGAAGCUCAACCUCGAGACGUCGGCGGAAACCAUCUGGCUAGAGUCCGGAAGAGGAGAAUGGAAUUCCUGGUGUAGCGGUGAAAUGCGCAGAUAUCAAGAAGAACACCCAUGGCGAGGGCGGCUCUCUGGGACGGUACUGACGCUGAGACGCGAAAGCGUGGGGAGCGAACAGG